CCUACGGGAGGCAGCAGUAGGGAAUCUUCCACAAUGGACGAAAGUCUGAUGGAGCAACGCCGCGUGAGUGAAGAAGGGUUUCGGCUCGUAAAGCUCUGUUGGUAGGGAAGAAAGAUAGAGGAAGUAACUGGCCUCGAGUUGACGGUAAUUACGGAGAAAGUCACGGCUAACUACGUGCCAGCAGCCGCGGUAAUACGUAGGUGGCAAGCGUUGACCGGAUUUAUGGGGCGUAAAGCGAGUGAAGGCGGUUCCAUAAGUCUGCGGUGAAAGCCUUCGGCUCAACCGUAGAAUUGCAUCUGAAACUGUUGAACUUGAGUGCAGAAGAGGAGAGUGGAACUCCAUGUGUAGCGGUGCAAUGCGUAGAUAUAUGGAAGCACACCAGUGGCGAAGGCGGCUCUCUGGUCUGCAACUGACGCUGAGGCUCGAAAGCCUGGGUAGCGAACAGGAUUAGAUACCCCUGUAGUC
Molecule: ribosomal RNA, 465 nt
Filed under: uncultured bacterium
Lineage: Bacteria
Description: partial 16S ribosomal RNA
Rfam family: Bacterial small subunit ribosomal RNA
Source: RNAcentral